Heterocephalus glaber (naked mole-rat) is the source of this 1658-nucleotide long non-coding RNA. NCBI's taxonomy places the organism in Eukaryota, Metazoa, Chordata, Mammalia, Rodentia, Bathyergidae. The record is from Ensembl.
AGCCGGGUUCCCCGGAUGGCCCAGCCCCUUCUCAAGUCCCCAGGUCCUCCUGGGUCGUCCCUUCCCCGUGUGACACCUCCAGUGCUGAGACCCCUGGCGCCCUCAGCCCCUCACCCCAUGGCCAGACCCACCUGGCCUCUCCCUUCCCAAGUAUCCGGGUUCACCAAGUCACUCCGUCCCUGUCCCCUCCACUCCAGGACAGUGCAGAUCUUAGUUUAAGUCAACUCCUGGCCACCGUUGCCCACCUCUACCUCCCUCCUUCCUACCUGCCCUUGGGCCUUUGCACAUGUUCUGCGUGCUGCCUCUCUCCAGCCCCUGUGGGCAGGGACUGCACCCUGCCCUGUGUGCAGUAUUUGAGGUGGGAAGCUCCCAGUGGAGUAUAGGAGGGAUGUUCCCUUCUGAACACACGAGUCCUGGGACUACCUCUUGCAUCCAGGGCCACACGCACCCUGAACUCCCUCCACCCAGCCUUAGCUAACUGCUUGAAGACCUGAGUCAGCACCACAGGACAGGCCAGCCAGUGAGAGGGCAGGACAUCCCUGCCCUGCUGUCCCCACCAGGCCGCAGGAAGGGCUGGCCCCUGAGAGAAGCAAGCACUGACUAGUGCCAAGGACAGACUGUGACCACUCCCAGCCAGUCCCUGGAGGAGUUGCAGAACCUUUCUGAUGGCUGGGGGCAAUGCAGUCCUCUGUGUGGAUGCAUCCUUGUCUUUUAUUCUGAGUCCUCAGAGAUUUCAGGCAGACCUGGGGCUCAGCAUGGCGGUUUCUUCACACACACCAGCACCAGCCGCGGAGGAGGCACUAGGCACACGGCCGUGUUCAGCUGCACUGCAGCCAAGGGCAGUAUCUCUUCUGGUUACGACUGAACAGUACCCCUUGUGUACCUGGACCACAUUUCCACCUAGAGUAUCUGUAGACACGGAGGAGCCAUGCCCCUCACAGGACCCCCUCGAGGCCCUGGGGUCCCCUCUGUGCGGCAGAGAGAGACCUGGCCCCUGGCCACAUGCAGCGACUGCAGACAGCCAUGGGGGGCCGAGGACGGCAGUGCCGGACAGCGCUGGGGACACACAGGCCUGCUGGGGACUUCUUUCCACAAGCCAAGUGCUGGGAUCACAGGUGUGUGCACCAUGCCGGCCGAUGGUGGGAUUUUCACAGGCCCCACCGCUCCUGUGGCAGAUAAGUUACCAUGAAACCUGAGCACAGACCAGUGGUGGCCUUAAAACCCAGGACAGAAGCCAGGACAGAAGCAGCACAAAGUGAGAAGGAAGCUCUCGUGGAGCCCUGGCCCGUUCCUGCACUGACGCUCCUGGAAGAGGCCUUCACUGUCCCAGAGUGAGGAUAACAGAGACAAGCCUUCCCGGAAGCCCUGGGAAGGUAUUUUGUCUCAGCAAUGGAAAGCUGGCUAACGCAGAGAUGAUGAAAGCACUGACCCCUCGGAAAGGUGUGAAGGUCGACACUGACUGGAUCAGCCAGGCAUCGUGGCGCACACCUGUUAUGCCAGCCCUCAGGAGACUGAGCCAGGAGGAUCACUGUGAAUUCAUGGCCAGCCAGGGGUACACAGUGAGCUCAGGACCAGUCUGAAGUACAAACCUGCAGAAGUCUUGAAAACGACAGCAGGGCUGAGGUCUCUUCUGGUAGCCAGGCCCUGGAAGGAGCAGA